RNAcentral lists this ribosomal RNA (460 nucleotides) under uncultured bacterium. RNAcentral's name for it is "partial 16S ribosomal RNA". It matches the Rfam family "Bacterial small subunit ribosomal RNA", at positions 338 to 795 of the family's 1533-position model. The record is from RNAcentral.
CCUACGGGUGGCAGCAGUGAGGAAUAUUGGUCAAUGGACGAGAGUCUGAACCAGCCAAGUAGCGUGAAGGAUGACUGCCCUAUGGGUUGUAAACUUCUUUUAUAUGGGAAUAAAAUGUUCCACGUGUGGGAUUUUGUAUGUACCAUAUGAAUAAGGAUCGGCUAACUCCGUGCCAGCAGCCGCGGUAAUACGGAGGAUCCGAGCGUUAUCCGGAUUUAUUGGGUUUAAAGGGAGCGUAGAUGGAUUGUUAAGUCAGUUGUGAAAGUUUGCGGCUCAACCGUAAAAUUGCAGUUGAAACUGGCAGUCUUGAGUACAGUAGAGGUGGGCGGAAUUCGUGGUGUAGCGGUGAAAUGCUUAGAUAUCACGAAGAACUCCGAUUGCGAAGGCAGUUCACUGGACUGCAACUGACACUGAGGCUCGAAAGUGUGGGUAUCAAACAGGAUUAGAUACCCGUGUAGUC